Molecule: long non-coding RNA, 315 nt
Organism: Ceratitis capitata (Mediterranean fruit fly)
Lineage: Eukaryota; Metazoa; Arthropoda; Insecta; Diptera; Tephritidae
Exons: 3
Source: RefSeq, a predicted model, not a curated record
UUUUUUUUAUCGUUUUCUCCGCAGCAGAUAGAAGUGAAAAAUAUAUAUUGAGGAUCCUGUACAAGCUCUGUGCACUGCAUAUACGGAGAAUUCAGCUAAUGGAGCAGAUUGACUGGAAUGGACGCUUCUCACUUUGCAGCAACAGCAGAUUGAAAAAUAUUCAAUAAAACUGUGCGAGACAUCUGUAUACAAAGGACCCGCGAUUAUGACGGAGACGUUCGUGGAGCUGAGGAGCUGCGACACCAUCGUUUCGUUUUUGCUUAUAAUAUUUUUUGAAUUAUUUUUCAAAACGAAUUUAUUGUUCUAUGUUAUUUC